AAGCUCCGGCGGAACGCAUGAAUAAAACGACGACGAUGAUUCAGCUAAUCUAAUUGAUUCGAUUUGCUCGAAUCAUGAGAGUACUUGGGAUCUAAGAGGAACCAGAUGUACCCGGAUUCCAUUGGAGGUGUGGAGGCAUUUGACGAUGAAGGGUCAUUUGAAAACCGAUCGCCGGAGAUGGUGGCUUCGACGGCGGCCGAUUGUUUGAAUUUCCAACGAAAGGAAG
This 226-nucleotide long non-coding RNA is filed under the name Linum usitatissimum (flax). RNAcentral's name for it is "long non-coding RNA (LUSI_LNC000301)". Lineage: Eukaryota; Viridiplantae; Streptophyta; Magnoliopsida; Malpighiales; Linaceae. The record is from RNAcentral.